RNAcentral lists this unclassified non-coding RNA (4163 nucleotides) under Leishmania donovani. Its description in RNAcentral is "gene:LdHU3.06.0560(CDS-product:hypothetical_prote in_conserved)". The record is from RNAcentral. Lineage: Eukaryota; Euglenozoa; Kinetoplastea; Trypanosomatida; Trypanosomatidae.
CGCCACACUCGCUUGUUUUUUUUUUCCAGUGCCAGCGCACACGCACCCGCACAGAUACACACGUGUGGCUCGCACUCGAGUUGGGGGGUGGUGGUGGUCACAGAAGCCAUCGACGAUUUCCGUUGCGUGUCUGAGCCGAAUCUUCGAUUUACCAUCCAGCAACCCGUCAUCGCACCCUUUGAACACACAAAUACAAGACGCAGUCUCCGUGAUGUUGCACGAAGGCCAACCCAUGUACGACACUGCGCCGCUCAGUGCGUUUGACACGGGGGACGUUGCGGAGAGGGACGUGCUCGCCUCCGUCGACAACACUUACUCUCCCUGCCACAGCAGCUUAUCGACUCGCCAACGGCAGCAGCACCAGCAGCGCAUGCUGCGUCACAGCAUGAGCGGCAGCGGCUCCUGCAUCGCGGCGGUGCGCUGCACCAGCUCACUGCCGGUACCGCAGGGCAGCGUUGGCUCUAAUCCACUCUCGCCGCCAGCCGCUGCCCAGCCUCAGCUGCCCUUUGCGCCAGUCGGUGCGGCUGGCACGGCAGACUGGGGCGACCAUGAGCACUCCAUCCCCCAACAGCUGCGGCAGUUGGAGAAAAAUCCGCCGCCGGAGGUUCCUCCGCUGACCCCCGCCGCCGAGGACUUUGUGCACGAGAUACUGGCAAUGAACACGUUGGCGAUGGAGCAGUGCUACGCUGCCAUUGCCGCGACCAGUGGUGCUACCCUUGUCGGCGCUGCCGUCGCCAACUCCACCCCCAACGUCACCGCUGCCUCGGAGGAGCCCAUGAGGAUCCUGAGCGAGGCCUACAUGCGGGUCGACGAGACUUCUGCGCAGGAUUUCCCGGUGCCGUUGCUUGAUGAGCUGAAGACCACGACACUCAAUAACAUGGGCGUUGUGGAGUGCAAUCGCGGCCAGCCACGGCAGGCGCUUAGUCACUUUGAGGCUGCUCGGCAGCUGGAGGAGAACAACGGCAUGGCCUCGCCCUCCAUCGCCCUCAACAUGUGCGCAGCGUACAACGCGUUGCGUAUGUUUGACAAGGCGACAGCGGCCGCGCUGGAGACGAUUGACAUGCUGCGCUCGUUGGCGCUGCAGCGACGGCGUAAUCGUCGACUGAAUGCUACCGCGACUGCCCUUCUCGGCGGCAGCGGUCUUCCGUGGCACGGCAGCGGUGGCGGCGCGAUGGACGGCGCCAAGGACGGAGACACGUCAACGACAGACCUGCUGCUCGAGGCCGCUGCGGCUCCGAAGAUUGCGGACUCGCAGAACGAGGCGCUAUGGGGUGCCGCGUGGAACAACUUGGCAGUUGCGCAGAUCAACACUGCUCGCGGCUCCAAGGACACGAGCGAAUACACGAAUGCGCUGUCCCUCUUCCAAAACGCGAUGCGAGCGACGCAGGAGCUGCUCGGAAUGCAGCACCCCAUGUCGAAGGCAGUCGUCGAGACAUUCCGCUCGGUGCGGCGAGCCUUGCGCUAUCACGGCGCCUUUAAGCAGCACCGCUCGCUGCUGCGUGCGCCGCUGCCGCCGGUGGACCCGCGGGAGCGAGAGUGGGAGGAGAGGCAGGUGGAGGUGAUGCCGGGCCACACCCGCCACGGCACCCUGCAGCAACAGAGGCAGCAGCUGACCAUUACGUUUCGCGGCGAGGUUACAGGCGGGCAGAAGGUGGUUGAGCGGCUGGACAGCACCCCAUACCCCGGCGCCGCCUCCGAGCCAUACCAGAAGCAGCAGCGCAUGUGUGGCUCAAACAGCGGUUGUGGCAACACCUCCGCUGCGACUGGUAGCCGCAACCGAAGCCGCUCCGGCAGCAAGAAGCAGCCCAAGCCGCAGAGCGGCAUAUCGCAGCUGAUGCGCAGCAUACCACUCAGUAGCACCCUAUGCCACGCUAGCGCCGUGUACGGCAAUCCGCACCCCCUUCUCUACUCCCCACCACCGUCAGGGCAGUACGCGGAGUCGGCCCCGCUCUCCUUUUCGGGCAGCGUCCGUGCGACGGUCAACCAGUACGACGGCUCUGCCGCCGCCCCUGGACGUGCCAUGUCCGCCGCCGACUCGAGCCGCCAAGGCCGCAACAGGGGCCUACACAGCCACACCACUAGAAGCCGUAGCGGUGCAACAGGGCGCACACCGCCCCCGCAUCGGCAGCAGCAGCAGCCGGCAGCCACAGCAGCAACGGAGAGGGGUGGGGGCAAGCGGAGCAAGUCCCGGAAAACAGGGAACAAUCACUUUCAGACGGCCCCGCACCCGAGCUCCUCGCGUAGCUACCAGCAUGGCAACGCGGUAGGUGCAGCUGCAGCGCCUCCUGCACCGCAGCCAACUCGUCCACCAGUGUCCAAGGCGCUGCCACCUAUCGAUAUGGGCGCUGCUGCUGGUGGUGCUGCCGCUACUCCCGCCGCCUUAGCAGAGUAUAAUGAAGGCCAUGCAGGGGCUGCUGGUGCCGUGCCUCUCGGGUAUGCCACUGGCACAUUCGGCGACAGGUCCAGCAGGCCCACCGUCACAUCUAUCUUCACGCAACAUCAGCCGCAGCGGCCGUCGAAAAGGAUUCCGUCAGCGCCGCAUGGGUCUACGUCUGUCUCUCCUUCAGCGGGUGUUGUCCACAGUGGUGCUGCGGCCACUUCACAUGUGCAGCAGUCGAAAAUGCUUCUGCUGGCUGCGCCGGCGAGCGGCGUGGCCACGACGACGACCUACUACCCGCUCGAGGUUCCGUCAGAGGCAGUAGCAAAGUCUGCGGAGCACCGAGGGCCGAUGCUCACGCCGGCGACGGUGCAGUCCGCUUGGCACGACGCCGGAGACCCGAGCGCGGGCACCCACGAGCUGUUCCGGGGCAUGUGGGUCACCGCCGACCCACACUACGUACACCGCGGCCCGCGUGUAUUCGGCCGACCGGCGUACUACACGAUUGCCACUACGCUGGGUGUGACUGAGGAUGGCGUGGGCGGUGGCGCUAGUGUCGCCGGCACCGGCACCGGCGCUGCGGCUUCAACAACACAGACGGACUCAGCACCUCGCCCAGUGCUGCCUACGCUGACGUACAGCAGCAGCGGCAGCGAGGAGGACAACGAUGCUGAGGGUGAGGAAGGCCAUGGGUGCGAAGGCGGCGCGAUGGAUGUGCGCCACCACACCUCCGUAUCCACCGAUGCGCCAUCGUCGUCUGCUUCGCCAAAGAAGAACACCCUGGCGGAGACAUCGCGGAUGACGAGUAGCUGAGUUUGUGUGUGUGCAUGUCUCUGCGUUACCGCGCAUCGGACACAGUGUGGCUGGACGAACGCCCUCACCCUUUUUCGGACUUGCUUGCUGCGCUUUUCAGGUUCCACUGCUGUGGCGGGUGGUGCUAACCGUCGAGGGACACCAAGCCGUCUUACCGUGGCGGCUGUCCGGCGUGUGCGCACUCGACGUGUCGUCUCUGCCUUUUGCGCUGCACGCAUUAGCGGCAUCGCCAUCAUCGCGCGUGCCCGUCUGCGUCUGUCCUUCCCUCCUCCCCUCUCCUCCCCUUCCCCUUUCUCUGUGUGUGGGUGUGUGGGGGCCGCACGAUGGCCGGCCGGGCCGCCUGCUUUUCUUCCUUAGUGUGGCGCCUUCUGUGUUCGACGGGCCUUGGACACGUCCGCCUUCGUGCGGCCCCUCCGCCCUCCCCCCCGUAUCAUCGCUGUUCUGCCUGUCUGUGUGUAUACCAGAACAUUGCCGCUAGUGUCUGUGCCUGUAUCUCUCUCUGUGUUGGAUGUACAGUAGUCGUUUAUUCGGCUUGUCUUGUCUUCGAAUCGUUCAAGUGGAAGAGCAAGGUGCGGAGGGGGGGCAUGUGGGGUGGGUGUGGGGGCUGUCCAUGCGUGCGCGUGCGCGUGUGUCUGCAUCGCCUUGCGCCUACUCCGUCCUCCCUUCUCCGCUCAUCUCUUUAUCUUCUGCUUGCGUGGUCCUCUUCGCAUCUCAUGUAUCAGCUCCGCUUGCCACCUCCACCCGCAACGACGUGUGUGCGCGACGUGUGCCGAUGGAGGAGGAUGGUCUCAUGUACAUCUUUCGUGUGCGCCGACUUGAGAGGGACCACCGGUCAGUGCCCCUCUCGUUCGCUCUAUCUCUGGCUGACUGCCUCUCUCGCGUCGCCUUAGACUACCCACACCGACGUACGCAUAGACACAACGUUUUUCUCUGCGUAUGUGUGUGUGUGUGCCGGAGCCGCGCUCAACCUGUC